This 239-nucleotide unclassified non-coding RNA is filed under the name Hypocreales sp. Its description in RNAcentral is "partial contains 5.8S ribosomal RNA, internal transcribed spacer 2, and large subunit ribosomal RNA". The record is from RNAcentral. Lineage: Eukaryota; Fungi; Ascomycota; Sordariomycetes; Hypocreales.
CGCACAUUGCGCUCCCCAGCAUUCUGGAGAGCAUGCCUGUUCGAGCGUCAUUUCAACCCCUCAAGCCCUGUUGCUUGGUGUUGGGGCCCGCCGUGGCGGGUUCCGAAAUGCGUCGGCAGAGCCGGUUAGCACUCUGAGCGUAGUAACUCACCUCGCUUUUGGGAGCUGCCGGCCCCUCGCCGUAAAACUUUUAUCUAAAGUUUGACCUCGGAUCAGGUAGGAAUACCCGCUGAACUUAA